UACGGAGUGGGCUAGCGUUGUUCGGAAUUACUGGGCGUAAAGCGCACGUAGGCGGCUUUGCAAGUUAGAGGUGAAAGCCCAGGGCUCAACCCUGGAAUUGCCUUUAAAACUGCAUCGCUAGAAUUGUGGAGAGGUAAGUGGAAUUCCGAGUGUAGAGGUGAAAUUCGUAGAUAUUCGGAAGAACACCAGUGGCGAAGGCGACUUACUGGACACAUAUUGACGCUGAGGUGCGAAAGCGUGGGGAGCAAACAGG
RNAcentral lists this ribosomal RNA (253 nucleotides) under uncultured bacterium. RNAcentral describes it as "partial 16S ribosomal RNA". It matches the Rfam family "Bacterial small subunit ribosomal RNA", at positions 524 to 776 of the family's 1533-position model. The record is from RNAcentral.